Molecule: long non-coding RNA, 2299 nt
Filed under: Mus musculus (house mouse)
Lineage: Eukaryota; Metazoa; Chordata; Mammalia; Rodentia; Muridae
Description: long non-coding RNA chr6:63623483-63625782
Source: RNAcentral
GAAAUUAUGGUAGUAGCCAACCACUGUUUAAUUGGAAUUAAGUCCCACUUCAUGAGAACAAACCCAUGACCAACAUUGCAUGAGUCACCAAGAACCAAGAAUAUAUAGCCCAAAGACCUAGGAUAAAGGCAAAAGAUUGAUUAAAACAAACAAACAAACAAAAAGUAACAAAUUGACUCUCAAUAUUAUUCUGCUGUAUACAUUUUCCAGACAGUUUGCCUUUAUUCUAUCUCUACAUUGUGUCCUCUGUGUAUAUAUUAUAGUUAUUAGUUUAGUAUUUUAUUGGAACUCCUGGCUGUGAGGAAAAAGUGGGUCUCCCUUGUAUGCUCCUGGAAUUCUUUCCUUCUGUUGGUUUGCCAUGCACAAUGUCUAUAUGAAAAAAUUUGUUUCAUCAUGAUAUUUUUGUCAUAUGUAGUUUUUAUUUCUUAAAAGAUUGUUCUGUUCUAAAUGAGAGGCAAAAGGUGAGUGCAUCCAGAGAGGAGAAGAUAUGGAGAGGAAUGAAAUGAAGGCAAACUGCAAUCAUGAUAUAUUAUAGGAGAUGAGGGUCUAUUAUCAAUAAAAAGACAAACAAAAGGAACCAGUUUGAUAAUGGAUUUGGAGGAGACUCAGAGUUCCCUAUAAGGAAAAGGGUAGGAGGGGAAAGUUACUUCUAUUUAGAAUCUUUGGACCUCACAUUUUCUUUUGUAAGCUGGUAGCAAUAUUGAUGGUAUUAAGCCCUUCAGUGGUUGUGGUGUUAAAUACAGUAUUGUAAUUUUAGCACUUUGGAAAGGUCACAGAGAAUUAAUUCAUAAAAACUGAAUACACUUGAAUGCCUUACUUGAAUAAGUAUAUUUAUCAAUACUAUUUUAAUAUCUAGAAUUCCAAGGACUAUUUAAGAAUAGAUGGUAACUUUCUAGAUUUAAUUAGAUGAGCCUAAUAUUGUGUUCCUUUAUAGAUUUAUUUUUACAGAGAAUUUCCUUAGCAAUAAGUGCUACAUCCUACUUACAUUUUAAAACUCUUUUUCUUUGGCAUUCAAUGUCAAGGUGAAAGAAUUUUAAACAAAUAAAAAAUAUUUCCUUUUCCUGUCUGCCUCAUUGCUUUUUCAGUUUUCCUGAUGGUGAUUUUUUCAUUUCCUAAUAGCUUUCCUUGACUUGAUAUUCACUUCCCAGUAGAAAGCAGUAAACAUUUUGUUACCUAAUGUUAGGGCAUGAGCCAAAGGCGGAGCCUGCCAUGGUCAGGAGCCAUUGGCACUGACCGCUCUCAACAUUCUAGUCUUAGAUUAUAGGUAUUGUCAACAGCCUUUUAGUUCUUCAGAGGAGAAAACAAACAUUAAUGUUGAAUUUUAUUUCCUGCACUUUGAGAUAGUUAAUCUGUGUCUACUAUGCAAUUCUAAGAUAAAGGAAGCAUUCAUUUUCAUGCCAGGCUGUUCUCUAAGCACUGAGAACAUAAUCACGGAACAUACAGUGAAGAAUCAGGCAGAUAAAGCUCCAAGAAGCUACACUUGUAAUUAUGAAAAUACAAGUAAUUAGUGAAGACAGUUUUAUAUUUUGUAAAUACUACUUAUAUUUAGUAAGUACCACUUUAUCUAUUUAUCUUGAUAUUAUUUAUUUAGCUGCACAAAUGCUGGCCUGCAGAAUCUAUGCUGUUUUGAGUUGCAGGAAAAAUAAUGUUUACUGUGAUAUUCAAAUAAAAAACAAGGAUAAUAAGAAAGCCUAUCAUGCAGUAUUUCAGUAUGAUUGCAGUGCAGGCAGCGUUAAGAUGUGCAGAAGGUUCCUUGAAAUGGCUGGAGGGAUAAAGGCUCUUGCUUUGAAGAAUAAUGAAUUGAGUUUGUUCGCUAUAAUCCACAAAGUAAAAAGAAAGAACUGAUUUGUUAUGGUUGUCUUCUAGUGACCACAUCUUUAUCUUGCAUACACAGACAUACAUACAUACAUACACACACACACACACACACACACACACACACACACACACACAUACACACACACACAUACACAUAGAAGAAUGAUGCAUUCAAUUCUGAAUGUAAGUCAGUGCAUGAAAUCAGGCUUGCAUCUCUAUAGAAUGACUUAGGUUUCCAUGAAGAAAAACCAAACCAAACAAUCUUGUGGCAGGCACAGGUUUUACCAGGAUUCCCAGAGAGUCUAUUUUGUUAGCUGUUUGGAAAACUGUGGUGAUUGUGGGAUAAAAGGAAGAUUGUUUGUUGUGAUGUUUGAAAAGUAGAAAGAAGCAGAAUUAUUUUGGAAAGAGUUCUUGAUGAAAUAUUUGUGAAUAUUAAGAGAUAUCACAGAUGUUAGAAAGCACUUUUCACUGAAAAUCUGAU